ACCCUCUGGUUCCCUUUCCCAUCGGAUCUGAACACUGAUCUUGGUGGUCAUAAAAGGAGGAAAAGUAAGACUGAAGCUGGCCUCACAGUGCUUACAAGUUUGAAACUGUGGGCUAGUUUCAAACAAGA
This is a small nucleolar RNA of Eptesicus fuscus (big brown bat), 128 nucleotides long. RefSeq annotates it as small nucleolar RNA SNORA61. The record is from RefSeq and is a predicted model, not a curated record. The transcript has a single exon. Lineage: Eukaryota; Metazoa; Chordata; Mammalia; Chiroptera; Vespertilionidae.